Molecule: ribosomal RNA, 475 nt
Filed under: uncultured Cenococcum
Lineage: Eukaryota; Fungi; Ascomycota; Dothideomycetes; Gloniales; Gloniaceae
Description: eukaryotic LSU rRNA
Rfam family: 5.8S ribosomal RNA (bases 108-266)
Source: RNAcentral
ACCUUUGACGAUUGACUCAUGUUGCCUCGGCGGGUGCUCCCGCCAGAGGAUACAUCAAAACUCCGUGUGUUUAACGGUGUUGUCUGAGCUACAAGCUACGAAUCAAUAACUUUCAACAACGGAUCUCUUGGUUCUGGCAUCGAUGAAGAACGCAGCGAAAUGCGAUAAGUAGUGUGAAUUGCUAUGAAUUCUACGUGAAUCAUCGAAUCUUUGAACGCACAUUGCGCCCCUUGGUAUCACGANUGAGCUCGACUGUUCGAGCGUCAUUUCACCACUCAAGCCUGGCUUGGUGUUAGGCGACGUCCCCUUUGGGGACGCGCCUCGAAACGCUCGGCGGCGUGGCACCGGCUUUAAGCGUAGCAGAAUCUUUCGCUUUGAAAGUCGGGGCCCCGUCUGCCGGAAGACCUACUCGCAAGGUUGACCUCGGAUCAGGCAGGGAUACCCGCUGAACUUAAGCAUAUCAAUAAGCGGAGGA